Molecule: ribosomal RNA, 1394 nt
Filed under: uncultured Lactobacillus sp.
Lineage: Bacteria; Bacillati; Bacillota; Bacilli; Lactobacillales; Lactobacillaceae
Description: bacterial SSU rRNA
Rfam family: Bacterial small subunit ribosomal RNA
Source: RNAcentral
UUGAUCCUGGCUCAGGACGAACGCUGGCGGCGUGCCUAAUACAUGCAAGUCGAGCGAGCCGAACUAAUUGAUUACCUUCGGGUAUGAAGUUAGGGAAGCGAGCGGCGGAUGGGUGAGUAACACGUGGGUAACCUACCCUAUAGUCUGGGAUACCACUUGGAAACAGGUGCUAAUACCGGAUAAAAGGAGAGAUCACGUGAUUUCUUUUUGAAAGGCGGCGUAAGCUGUCGCUAAAGGAUGGACCCGCGGUGCAUUAGCUAGUUGGUAAGGUAACGGCUUACCAAGGCAACGAUGCAUAGCCGAGUUGAGAGACUGAUCGGCCACAUUGGGAAACUGAGGAGAACACGCGCCAAACUCCUACGGGAGGGCAGCAGGUAGGAAUCUUCCACAUGGACGCAAGUCUGAUGGAGCAACGCCGCGGUGGAGGAGAGGUUUUCGGAUCGUAAAGCUCUGUUGUUGGUGAAGAAAGAUAGUGAGAGUAACUGCUCAUUAUUUGCCCGGUAAUCACCAGAAAGUCACGGCUAACUACGUGCCAGCAGCCGCGGUAAUACGUAGGUGGCAAGCGUUGUCCGGGAUUUAUUGGGCGUAAAGCGAGCGCAGGCGGAAAGAUAAGUCAGAUGUGAAAGCCCUCGGCUUAACCGAGGAAUAGCAUCGGAAACUGUCUUUCUUGAGUGCAGAAGAGGAGAGUGGAACUCCAUGUGUAGCGGUGGAAUGCGUAGAUAUAUGGAAGAACACCAGUGGCGAAGGCGGCUCUCUGGUCUGUAACUGACGCUGAGGCUCGAAAGCAUGGGUAGCGAACAGGAUUAGAUACCCUGGUAGUCCAUGCUGUAAACGAUGAGUGCUAAGUGUUGGGAGGUUUCCGCCUCUCAGUGCUGCAGCUAACGCAUUAAGCACUCCGCCUGGGGAGUACGACCGCAAGGUCAAAACUCAAAGGAAUUGACGGGGGCCCGCACAAGCGGUGGAGCAUGGUGGUUUAAUUCGAAGCAACGCGAAGAACCUUACCAGGUCUUGACAUCUAGUGCCAACCUAAGAGAUUAGGCGUUCCCUUCGGGGACACUAAGAACAGGUGGUGCAUGGCUGUCGUCAGCUCGUGUCGUGAGAUGUUGGGUUAAGUCCCGCAACGAGCGCAACCUUAUUAUUAGUUGCAGCAUUAAGUUGGGCACUCUAAUGAGAACUGCCGGUGACAAACCGGAGAGAAAGGGUUGGGGAUGAGUCAAGUCACUGCCCCUUAUGACCUGGGCUACACACGUGCUACAAUGGGCAGUACAACGAGGAGCGAACUUGUGAAGGCAAGCGAAUCUCUGAAAGCUGUUCUCAGUUCGGACUGUAGGCUGCAACUCGCCUACACGAAGCUGGAAUCGCUAGUAAUCGCGGAUCAGCACGCCGCGGUGAAU